ACCAGUCUCUAUCAGAGGGACAGUGCUGCUGUCAGCCUGAAUGAAGAGGUUUAUCCUGACAUCAACGUCAUCACAGGUCAGUCCCCUGUCCCCCUACACCAGUCUCUAUCAGAGGGACAGUGCUGCUGUCAGCCUGAAUGAAGAGGUUUAUCCUGACAUCAACGUCAUCACAGGUCAGUCCCCUAUCCCCCUAAACCAGUCUCUAUCAGCAUCAACGUCAUCACAGGUCAGUCCCCUAUCCCCUAAACCAGUCUCUAUCAGCAUCAACGUCAUCACAGGUCAGUCCCCUAUCCCCCUACACCAGUCUCUAUCAGCAUCAACGUCAUCACAGGUCAGUCCCCUGUCCCCCUAAACCAGUCUCUAUCAGCAUCAACGUCAUCACAGGUCAGUCCCCUAUCCCCCUACACCAGUCUCUAUCAGAGGGACAGUGCUGCUGUCAGCCUGAAUGAAGAGGUUUAUCCUGACAUCAACGUCAUCACAGGUCAGUCCCCUAUCCCCCUAAACCAGUCUCUAUCCUGACAUCAACGUCAUCACA
This is a long non-coding RNA of Oncorhynchus tshawytscha (Chinook salmon), 535 nucleotides long. The record is from Ensembl. Lineage: Eukaryota; Metazoa; Chordata; Actinopteri; Salmoniformes; Salmonidae.